Molecule: ribosomal RNA, 480 nt
Filed under: uncultured bacterium
Lineage: Bacteria
Description: bacterial SSU rRNA
Rfam family: Bacterial small subunit ribosomal RNA
Source: RNAcentral
AUUGAACGCUGGCGGCAUGCCUAACACAUGCAAGUCGAACGGAGAUAGGGGCAACCUUAUUUCAGUGGCGGACGGGUGAGGAAUGCGUCGGAAUCUGCCCUAUGGUGGGGGAUAACACAGGGAAACUUGUGCUAAUACCGCAUAAUGUCGAGAGACCAAAGCAGGGGACCGCAAGGCCUUGCGCGAUAGGAUGAGCCGACGCCCGAUUAGCUUGUUGGUAGGGUAAUGGCCUACCAAGGCGACGAUCGGUAGCUGGUCUGAGAGGAUGAUCAGCCACACUGGAACUGAGACACGGUCCAGACUCCUACGGGAGGCAGCAGUGGGGAAUAUUGCGCAAUGGGCGAAAGCCUGACGCAGCAACGCCGCGUGGGUGAAGAAGGUCUUCGGAUCGUAAAGCCCUGUCAGGAGGGACGAAACAAAUGACGGUACCUCCAAAGGAAGCACUGGCUAACUCCGUGCCAGCAGCCGCGUAAAGUCUAG